GUUAAGAAACAACAUUUUUAUUUGGGUUUUAAAGGGUGAACAUCAAACCGAUGCUCUCUUCAUUGAUUUUUUGAAUUCCUUGAUGCAUAAGAAAUUUCAUUUCUUAUAUGGGUUUUUUCAAGGGUGGAACUGAGAUGGGUUUCCCUUCUUUUUUUUUUCAUUUGAUAUGAGUUGAGAAGACAAGUGUGCCAUAGGAGAGAAUAAUCAUGGAAGAGGAGACUUCAAUCAAAAAGAGAGGAGGAUUUGCCGAUGACUGUGACUUGGUUGCUUCCAUGUUUUCUUGGUCUCUCGAGGACAUUUACAAUGAAAAUCUUUUCGAGGUUCUAUUUAUCCUCCUUUUGCUUUGUUUCUGUAUUAAAAUCUUAGCACAGCUUUUCGGUUUAUGUCUUUGACCGGU
RNAcentral lists this unclassified non-coding RNA (397 nucleotides) under Hevea brasiliensis (rubber tree). Lineage: Eukaryota; Viridiplantae; Streptophyta; Magnoliopsida; Malpighiales; Euphorbiaceae. The record is from RNAcentral.